GUACAGUGGAUAGGAAUCCGGCUGCCAACGCAGGGAACGUGGGCUCAAUCUCUGGUCUGGGAAGAUCCCACAUACCUCGGAGCAAUGAAGCCCAUGUACCACAACUGCCGAGCCCACAUGCCCCCAAGCCUGUGCUCCGCAGGAAGAGAAGCCACUGCAGUGAGAAGCCCACACACUCAACGAAGAGAACCCGCUCACCGCAACUAGAGAAAGCCCUCGAGUGUCAAUGAAGACCCCAUGUAGCCAAUAAUGGUGGAGUAGCAGUUCUGUGGAUGAGAAUAUCAAGCAGGCAUUUUGAUGAUGCAGGUAAUGAAGCUGGUUGGAGAAAAUGGGAACUGCAUUGGAAAAUACCAAAUGAAUUCUUUUGUGUUCUCCUGUUCUAAUGCCUGGGUCAAAGCAACCCAAACCAACCGCAGUUCUGCAACACCAGCUGUGCUGGGUCUUCGUUGCUGCACGUGGGUUUUCUCUAGUUGCAACCAGCGGGGGCUCCACUUCGUCGCGGUGCACGGGCUUCUCACUGCAGUGGUUUCUCCUGUUGCAGAGCGUGGGCUCUAGAGUGCGAGCUCAGUAGUUAUGGCACAGGUGCUUAGUUGCUCCACAGCACGUGGGAUCUUCCGGGCCCAGGGAUCAAACCCGUGUCCCCUGCGUUGACAGGCAGACUCCUGUCCACCACACCACAAGGGAAGUCCAAAACUGGUUUCAUUUUAAUGUCACACUCCUGUUCGUUUGUUGACCUUAUUUUCUAAAGCUAUUGGGUGACUUUCAUUUCUGAGUUUUUAAAGUUAUUAUCCAUCUGUAUGCCUUUACAGAAGCAGUGAUACUUUCAGCCUAAAAUACCCUUGCUACUUGUUCUCUGGUCAAAGAGUGCCUCCUUCAUUAUAUUCAGCCUUCUCUGCGAAGCUUCCUUUCUCACCCAGGGACUCUUCUAUCCCACCCCUUCCGCUCACCUUGGCGCAGUGGAUCAGCCACAGAACUCCUGUGUUGCUCACACUCUGUGUCCUCUGCUAGUCCACCUAGAACAGUCUGUGGCCUUCCUCUUCCACCAAGCUCUUUGGAGUCCUUGAAGGCAAGGAUCAUGUU
This is a long non-coding RNA of Bos taurus (domestic cattle), 1080 nucleotides long. NCBI's taxonomy places the organism in Eukaryota, Metazoa, Chordata, Mammalia, Artiodactyla, Bovidae. The record is from Ensembl.